AUUGAACGCUGGCGGCAUGCUUUACACAUGCAAGUCGAACGGCAGCGCGGGCUUCGGCCUGGCGGCGAGUGGCGAACGGGUGAGUAAUGCAUCGGAACGUGCCCAGUAGUGGGGGAUAGCCCGGCGAAAGCCGGAUUAAUACCGCAUACGACCUGAGGGUGAAAGCGGGGGACCGAAAGGCCUCGCGCUAUUGGAGCGGCCGAUGUCGGAUUAGCUAGUUGGUGGGGUAAAGGCUUACCAAGGCGACGAUCCGUAGCUGGUCUGAGAGGACGACCAGCCACACGGGGAAUGAGACACGGCCCAGACUACUACGGGAGGCAGCAGUGGGGAAUUGUGGACAAGGGGCGCAAGCAUGAUCCAGCCAUGCCGCGUGAAGGAUGAAGGCGUUCGGGUUGUAAAAGGCUGUGGUACGGAAAGAAAAGCAUUCUGGUAAUACAGGAGGGUCAUGAAGGUACCGUAAGAAUAAGCACCGGAUAACUACGUG
RNAcentral lists this ribosomal RNA (484 nucleotides) under uncultured bacterium. Its description in RNAcentral is "partial 16S ribosomal RNA". It matches the Rfam family "Bacterial small subunit ribosomal RNA", at positions 29 to 507 of the family's 1533-position model. The record is from RNAcentral.